UCUCAGUUCGGAUUGGAGUCUGCAACCCGACUCCAUGAAGCUGGAUUCGCUAGUAAUCGCGCAUCAGCCACGGCGCGGUGAAUACGUUCCCGGGCCUUGUACACACCGCCCGUCAAGCCAUGGAAGCCGGGGGGUGCCUGAAGUGCGCUGCCGCAAGGAGCGCCCUAGGGUAAAACCGGUGACUGGGGCUAAGUCGUAACAAGGUAUC
RNAcentral lists this ribosomal RNA (208 nucleotides) under uncultured bacterium. RNAcentral describes it as "partial 16S ribosomal RNA". It matches the Rfam family "Bacterial small subunit ribosomal RNA", at positions 1286 to 1500 of the family's 1533-position model. The record is from RNAcentral.